This 803-nucleotide ribosomal RNA is filed under the name uncultured bacterium. RNAcentral's name for it is "bacterial SSU rRNA". It matches the Rfam family "Bacterial small subunit ribosomal RNA", at positions 8 to 812 of the family's 1533-position model. The record is from RNAcentral.
AGAGUUUGAUCCUGGCUCAGGAUGAACGCUGGCGGCGUGCUUAACACAUGCAAGUCGAACGGGAAACCUUUUAUUGAAGCUUCGGCAGAUUUAGCUGGUUUCUAGUGGCGGACGGGUGAGUAACGCGUGGGUAACCUGCCUUAUACAGGGGGAUAACAGUCAGAAAUGACUGCUAAUACCGCAUAAGCGCACAGGACCGCAUGGUCUGGUGUGAAAAACUCCGGUGGUAUAAGAUGGACCCGCGUUGGAUUAGCUUGUUGGUGGGGUAACGGCUCACCAAGGCGACGAUCCAUAGCCGGCCUGAGAGGGUGAACGGUCACAUUGGGACUGAGACACGGCCCAGACUCCUACGGGAGGCAGCAGUGGGGAAUAUUGCACAAUGGGGGAAACCCUGAUGCAGCGACGCCGCGUGAAGGAAGAAGUAUCUCGGUAUGUAAACUUCUAUCAGCAGGGAAGAUAGUGACGGUACCUGACUAAGAAGCCCCGGCUAACUACGUGCCAGCAGCCGCGGUAAUACGUAGGGGGCAAGCGUUAUCCGGAUUUACUGGGUGUAAAGGGAGCGUAGACGGAUUGGCAAGUCUGAUGUGAAAGGCGGGGGCUCAACCCCUGGACUGCAUUGGAAACUGUUAGUCUUGAGUGCCGGAGAGGUAAGCGGAAUUCCUAGUGUAGCGGUGAAAUGCGUAGAUAUUAGGAGGAACACCAGUGGCGAAGGCGGCUUACUGGACGGUAACUGACGUUGAGGCUCGAAAGCGUGGGGAGCAAACAGGAUUAGAUACCCUGGUAGUCCACGCCGUAAACGAUGA